GAGGGUAUAGCUCCAUGGUAGAGCGCAUGCUUAGCAUGCAUGAGGUCCUGGGUUCCAUCCCAGUAUCUCCA
Molecule: transfer RNA, 71 nt
Filed under: Camelus bactrianus (Bactrian camel)
Lineage: Eukaryota; Metazoa; Chordata; Mammalia; Artiodactyla; Camelidae
Also listed under: 2 other names
Rfam family: tRNA
About the family: Transfer RNA (tRNA) molecules are approximately 80 nucleotides in length. Their secondary structure includes four short double-helical elements and three loops (D, anti-codon, and T loops).
Source: Rfam by way of RNAcentral